GGCCUGUGCAGCCGGAGAAAAAAAAUCAAUCGGAUCGAUUUUCCCGUGUUUUUUUUGUGCAGCCGUGCUCCCGUUUCCCCUGCACCAGAGCUUGGCCCUGAUGUGCGCCACUCCCCUACGGCCUACCCACCGCCUGCCCUCCCAAGCUGCCGUGCGCAUCCAUUUCCGACGCGCUGGGCGCCAUGCCUCUUUCCCUCUGCGUGCCGCUUAUGUGCGCUGCAAAUCGACUUGUGCCGCCGCGACCGAUGCUCUCCUAGCCACCAAUGCUUCAGAAACGGCCCCACGUCCAAGCAUUCAUCUAUUGCUCUGUAAAUGCGGCACAGAAACUGUUCGGGUGAACUGAGACGCCACCAUCUUCAUCCUUUAAACCCCUCUCCGUACCGCUGCUCAAGUUGCCCUCUCUGGCACCACCUUUGCUCUGGCAGAGUUUGCUUCGGUUCUCUGUGUUGCUUGCUGAAAUUUGGAGGUGGCUGUCAUCGGUACAAAGGGCCCAUGAUUUGAUUCGAUUUUGCACGACGGAAAGCUAGACUUGCUUGCAUCGGAAAUUUGGAGCCAAUUGAUUUCACUACUAUUGCUGCAGAAUUGGUCAGGCAAGAUGCCAUCCAUGUUUCUCAAAAUAUGAAAAUAGAUGCUGCAGAACAUGUGGCCGCCCUUGAUAAUGACGUUCGUGAAACCAAAUUAUUCCAUAUAGGAAUGAAGGUUGAUUCAACAUCCAGUUUCACAUAAGCUGUCAUAAUAAAGAGCUUCUCGGCUGACAAUGGACAAAUGCUGCCCUCCACAAAGUCAUCUGCAAGCAAGGAACUUAUUGCCAAUCCAUCUUCAGCCAUGAGUACCCAGAGGUUUAAAUGAAUCAUAACAUUGAAAUUAAAAGCUCUAUUUCAACAUCCAUAUCAAUUUUUUGUUACCCACAGUCCAAUUGUCGACGCACAAGAUGACUCCAGCAAUAAUGCGCCUCCCUGUCCCCAAUCUGCAGCUAUUGAUACAGACAAAAACAAACUCAUGUAAUUUUUUUUAAUUUUUUUUAAGACAAUUCUCUGUACAUACUAAUCUGUUCAGAGUUCACAUGAAUUAGAAAUAAUAUUUUUCUGCAAGCAAGUCUGCAGCAAAACGAAGCAUUCAGUUUACAGAACAUGAUCUGACGAACAAAGGAAGUGAAAAUGAAGUGGAGCUUACAGAUGGAACAAAGCAAAUUCAGGAUGUCAAACGGAAUAAGCAUGAGACAUAAUCGACCAUGCAGGAAGCAACAUCAGGAGUACCUAAAAUUAGUUAUAGUGUUGCUUGAGUCAAAAUUACAGGUCACCAUUGACCACCUCUAAUUGUAAUCAAUCAGACCUCUUAUUAAUAUUGUUUGAUGUCGGUCCAGUGCAUGUAUAUGCAUCUAUCGCAGUGAAUAAAACAUCUGCACUUUCUUCUCAGCUUUGCCGACUACUUCAAGUUCACUUAAGAUCUGUAUGCUGACCACUUCGGGCACAAGGCACAGCCACAUAAACCUAUGACAAUUCAAUGCUCAGAAACUCUUGUAAUAAAAACUUUUAGUAACAUUCAUUUAGGAGGUGCUGUAAUGUACCAUAAAAUGUUUUUUAAAAACGGUGUCAACCAUCUAUAUAUCAACAACACUGGUAUUACAUUCCUUCAAUAUCAAAGUAAAAAUACCACUUCCAUGCCACAGUCUUCACAAUCUCUGAAACAUGGAGCUGACACCAAGGGAAAACCAGCAUGCAAACGAGGAACAUAGAGUAUAUACUCUCACCUUCAACUCAUCCACAAAGAGAGGCUUGCAAGAUGUAUGAUGAGGCGAUCCAAGAACUCAAUGAUCCUAUGAAACAGCCGAUGCAUAUAACUUUGAAAGAAGGAGCCAAGACAGAGUUUCAUGUGCAGACAUCACAAGAAUUCUUACAUCUGAUCGGCAUUUCU
This is a long non-coding RNA of Brachypodium distachyon (stiff brome), 1914 nucleotides long. RefSeq lists it as uncharacterized. NCBI's taxonomy places the organism in Eukaryota, Viridiplantae, Streptophyta, Magnoliopsida, Poales, Poaceae. The transcript has 7 exons. The record is from RefSeq and is a predicted model, not a curated record.